CCUACGGGAGGCUGCAGUAGGGAAUAUUCCGCAAUGGACGAAAGUCUGAUGGAGCAACGCCGCGUGAGGGAAGAAGGGCUUCGGCUCGUAAAGCUCUGUUAGUAGUGAAGAAAGAUAGAGGUAGUAACUGGCAUUGAAUUGACGGUAAUUACUUAGGAAGUCAAGGCUAACUACGUGCCAGCAGCCGCGGUAAUACGGAGGUGGCGAGCGUUGUGCGGAUUUAUUGGGCGUAAAGCGAGCGAAGGCGGUUCGAUAAGUCUGAGGUGAAAGCCCGCGGCUCAACCGGGGAAUUGCAUCAGAAACUGUUGAACUUGAGUGCAUGAGAGGAUAGUGGAACUCCAGGUGUAGCGGUGAAAUGCGUAGAUAUAUGGAAGAACACCAGUGGCGAAGGCGGCUCUCUGG
RNAcentral lists this ribosomal RNA (402 nucleotides) under uncultured bacterium. RNAcentral describes it as "partial 16S ribosomal RNA". It matches the Rfam family "Bacterial small subunit ribosomal RNA", at positions 338 to 732 of the family's 1533-position model. The record is from RNAcentral.